UACGUAAGGACCGAGCGUUGUCCGGAAUCAUUGGGCGUAAAGUGUCUGUAGGUGGCUUUUUAAGUCCUCCGUCAAAUCCCAGGGCUCAACCCCGGACAGGCGGUGGAAACUGACAAGCUGGAGUACGGUAGGGGCAGAGGGAAUUUCCGGUGGAGCGGUUAAAUGCGUAGAGAUCGGAAAGAACACCAACGGCGAAAGCACUCUGCUGGACCGAUACUGACACUCAGAGACGAAAGCGUGGGGAGCAAACAGG
RNAcentral lists this ribosomal RNA (253 nucleotides) under uncultured bacterium. RNAcentral describes it as "partial 16S ribosomal RNA". It matches the Rfam family "Bacterial small subunit ribosomal RNA", at positions 524 to 776 of the family's 1533-position model. The record is from RNAcentral.